This 293-nucleotide ribosomal RNA is filed under the name uncultured microorganism. Its description in RNAcentral is "partial 16S ribosomal RNA". It matches the Rfam family "Bacterial small subunit ribosomal RNA", at positions 505 to 796 of the family's 1533-position model. The record is from RNAcentral.
GUGCCAGCAGCCGCGGUAAUACGUAGGGCGCAAGCGUUAUCCGGAUUUAUUGGGCGUAAAGAGCUCGUAGGCGGUUUGUCGCGUCUGCCGUGAAAGUCCGAGGCUCAACCUCGGAUCUGCGGUGGGUACGGGCAGACUAGAGUGAUGUAGGGGAGACUGGAAUUCCUGGUGUAGCGGUGAAAUGCGCAGAUAUCAGGAGGAACACCGAUGGCGAAGGCAGGUCUCUGGGCAUUUACUGACGCUGAGGAGCGAAAGCAUGGGGAGCGAACAGGAUUAGAUACUCCUGGUAGUCC